UACAGAGGGUGCGAGCGUUAAUCGGAAUUACUGGGCGUAAAGCGCGCGUAGGCGGUUUUGUAAGUCGGAUGUGAAAGCCCCGGGCUUAACCUGGGAACUGCAUUCGAGACUGCAUGACUGGAGUAUUGGAGAGGGCAGUGGAAUUUCCGGUGUAGCGGUGAAAUGCGUAGAUAUCGGAAGGAACACCGGUGGCGAAAGCGGCGCGCUGGACCCCUUCUGACGCUGAGGCGCGAAAGCCAGGGGAGCAAACGGG
RNAcentral lists this ribosomal RNA (253 nucleotides) under uncultured bacterium. RNAcentral describes it as "partial 16S ribosomal RNA". It matches the Rfam family "Bacterial small subunit ribosomal RNA", at positions 524 to 776 of the family's 1533-position model. The record is from RNAcentral.